This 645-nucleotide ribosomal RNA is filed under the name Bacillus pumilus. Its description in RNAcentral is "bacterial SSU rRNA". It matches the Rfam family "Bacterial small subunit ribosomal RNA", at positions 433 to 1066 of the family's 1533-position model. Lineage: Bacteria; Bacillati; Bacillota; Bacilli; Caryophanales; Bacillaceae. The record is from RNAcentral.
CUGUUGUUAGGGAAGAACAAGUGCAAGAGUAACUGCUUGCACCUUGACGGUACCUAACCAGAAAGCCACGGCUAACUACGUGCCAGCAGCCGCGGUAAUACGUAGGUGGCAAGCGUUGUCCGGAAUUAUUGGGCGUAAAGGGCUCGCAGGCGGUUUCUUAAGUCUGAUGUGAAAGCCCCCGGCUCAACCGGGGAGGGUCAUUGGAAACUGGGAAACUUGAGUGCAGAAGAGGAGAGUGGAAUUCCACGUGUAGCGGUGAAAUGCGUAGAGAUGUGGAGGAACACCAGUGGCGAAGGCGACUCUCUGGUCUGUAACUGACGCUGAGGAGCGAAAGCGUGGGGAGCGAACAGGAUUAGAUACCCUGGUAGUCCACGCCGUAAACGAUGAGUGCUAAGUGUUANGGGGGUUUCCGCCCCUUAGUGCUGCAGCUAACGCAUUAAGCACUCCGCCUGGNGGAGUACGGUCGCAAGACUGAAACUCAAAGGAAUUGACGGGGGCCCGCACAAGCGGUGGAGCAUGUGGUUUAAUUCGAAGCAACGCGAAGAACCUUACCAGGUCUUGACAUCCUCUGACAACCCUAGAGAUAGGGCUUUCCCUUCGGGGACARARUGACANGGKGGUGCAKGGUUGUCGUCASCUCSUGUC